This 143-nucleotide microRNA precursor is filed under the name Corchorus olitorius. RNAcentral's name for it is "MIR396 microRNA precursor family". It matches the Rfam family "MIR396 microRNA precursor family". The record is from Rfam by way of RNAcentral. Lineage: Eukaryota; Viridiplantae; Streptophyta; Magnoliopsida; Malvales; Malvaceae.
CUUUGUAUUCUUCCACAGCUUUCUUGAACUGCAACUUCGUCUUAAAUUGUUUACUCUCUUGUUGAUGUUUAAUCUUGCAUGUGAGAGUUUUAAUAAUAGGGAUAUUGUUUGCGGUUCAAUAAAGCUGUGGGAAGAUACGAACA